GCUCACCUAGGCGAGGAUCCCUAGCUGGUCUGAGAGGAUGACCAGCCACACUGGAACUGAGACACGGUCCAGACUCCUACGGGAGGCAGCAGUGGGGAAUAUUGCACAAUGGGCGCAAGCCUGAUGCAGCCAUGCCGCGUGUGUGAAGAAGGCCUUCGGGUUGUAAAGCACUUUCAGCGGGGAGGAAGGCGAUAAGGUUAAUAACCUCAUCGAUUGACGUUACCCGCAGAAGAAGCACCGGCUAACUCCGUGCCAGCAGCCGCGGUAAUAC
Molecule: ribosomal RNA, 271 nt
Filed under: Acinetobacter baumannii
Lineage: Bacteria; Pseudomonadati; Pseudomonadota; Gammaproteobacteria; Moraxellales; Moraxellaceae
Description: partial 16S ribosomal RNA
Rfam family: Bacterial small subunit ribosomal RNA
Source: RNAcentral